RNAcentral lists this ribosomal RNA (411 nucleotides) under uncultured bacterium. RNAcentral describes it as "bacterial SSU rRNA". It matches the Rfam family "Bacterial small subunit ribosomal RNA", at positions 505 to 916 of the family's 1533-position model. The record is from RNAcentral.
GUGUCAGCAGCCGCGGUAAUACGAAGGGGGCUAGCGUUGCUCGGAAUUACUGGGCGUAAAGGGCGCGUAGGCGGACAUUUAAGUCAGGGGUGAAAUCCCAGAGCUCAACUCUGGAACUGCCUUUGAUACUGGGUGUCUUGAGUGUGAGAGAGGUAUGUGGAACUCCGAGUGUAGAGGUGAAAUUCGUAGAUAUUCGGAAGAACACCAGUGGCGAAGGCGACAUACUGGCUCAUUACUGACGCUGAGGCGCGAAAGCGUGGGGAGCAAACAGGAUUAGAUCCCCUGGUAGUCCACGCCGUAAACGAUGAUUGCUAGUUGUCGGGCUGCAUGCAGUUCGGUGACGCAGCUAACGCAUUAAGCAAUCCGCCUGGGGAGUACGGUCGCAAGAUUAAAACUUAAAGGAAUUGGCGG